UACGUAGGGGGCGAGCGUUACCCGGAUUUACUGGGCGUAAAGCGCGUGUAGGCGGCUGGUCAAGCGUGGUGUGAAAUCUCCGGGCUCAACCCGGAAACUGCAUUGCGAACUGACCUAGCUGGAGUGCAGGAGAGGGCAGCGGAAUUCCUAGUGUAGAGGUGAAAUUCGUAGAUAUUAGGAAGAACACCGGUGGCGAAGGCGGCCCACUGGCUCGAUACUGACGCUGAGGUGCGAAAGCGUGGGGAGCAAACAGG
Molecule: ribosomal RNA, 254 nt
Filed under: uncultured bacterium
Lineage: Bacteria
Description: partial 16S ribosomal RNA
Rfam family: Bacterial small subunit ribosomal RNA
Source: RNAcentral